This 422-nucleotide ribosomal RNA is filed under the name uncultured bacterium. RNAcentral describes it as "partial 16S ribosomal RNA". It matches the Rfam family "Bacterial small subunit ribosomal RNA", at positions 360 to 774 of the family's 1533-position model. The record is from RNAcentral.
AAUAUUGUACAAUGCGGGCAACCCUGAUCCAGCCAUGCUGCGUGUGUGAAGAAGGUCUUCGGAUUGUAAAGCACUCUAAGUUGGGAGGAAGGGCUUUAGGUUAAUACCCUGAAGUUUUGACGUUACUAACAGAAUAAGCACCGGCUAAAUCUGUGCCAGCAGCCGCGGUAAUACAGAGGGUGCAAGCGUUAAUCGGAAUUACUGGGCGUAAAGCGCGCGUAGGUGGUUCAGUAAGAUGGAUGUGAAAUCCCCGGGCUUAACCUGGGAACUGCUUUCAUAACUGCUGAGCUAGAGUACGGUAGAGGGUAGUGGAAUUUCCUGUGUAGCGGUGAAAUGUGUAGAUAUAGGAAGGAACACCAGUGGCGAAGGCGACUACCUGGACUGAUACUGACACUGAGGUGCGAAAGCGUGGGGAGCAAACA